GCUGGGUGUGGUGGCAUGCACCUGUAGUCCCAGCUACUCAGGAGGCUGAGGCUGGAGGAUCAUUUGAGCCCAGGAGUUCAAGGCUGCAGUAAGCUCUAAUCACACCACUGCACUCUAGCCUGGGUGACAGAGUGAGAUCCUGUCUCCA
This is an unclassified non-coding RNA of Pongo abelii (Sumatran orangutan), 148 nucleotides long. It matches the Rfam family "Metazoan signal recognition particle RNA". Rfam says of the family: The signal recognition particle (SRP) is a universally conserved ribonucleoprotein. It is involved in the co-translational targeting of proteins to membranes. The eukaryotic SRP consists of a 300-nucleotide 7S RNA and six proteins: SRPs 72, 68, 54, 19, 14, and 9. The record is from Ensembl. Lineage: Eukaryota; Metazoa; Chordata; Mammalia; Primates; Hominidae.